CCUUUACAAUGCACGAAAGUGUGAUAAGGGGAUUCCAAAUGCUCAUGCUUUGCAUGGGCUUUUGCUAAGGGUAAAUACCUUGGCGAAUAAGUGGUGGGUAAGACUGGUGCCAGCAGCCGCGGUAACACCAGCGCCACAAGUGGGGGCCGUGUAUUUGGUCUAAAGCGUCCGUAGCCGGUCUUGUACAUUUUCUGUGAAAUCAUUCCGCUUAACGGAAUGGCGUGCAGGAAAAACGGCAAGACUUGGGACCGGGAGGAGCACGAGGUAUUUCAUGGGGAGCGGUAAAAUGCUUUAAUCCAUGGAGGACCACCGAUGGCGAAGGCAUCGUGCCAGAACGG
This 338-nucleotide ribosomal RNA is filed under the name uncultured Methanococcus sp. RNAcentral describes it as "bacterial SSU rRNA". It matches the Rfam family "Archaeal small subunit ribosomal RNA", at positions 347 to 688 of the family's 1478-position model. Lineage: Archaea; Methanobacteriati; Methanobacteriota; Methanococci; Methanococcales; Methanococcaceae. The record is from RNAcentral.